AUGGAGGGAUGGAUAACAUUAUGUUUAAUAGUCCUAUCCACGUUAGUAGCCCUUUGGUUUUCUGGAUGCAGUAGACGGUCCAAGAAGAACCGGCCUCCUGGGCCAUGGACUCUCCCAGUCAUCGGUAAUCUCCACCAGAUCCUGAGAGCCCUCCCACACCGCGCCCUUACUGAUCUGGGUCGCCGGCAUGGGCCAGUUAUGCUCCUCAAGCUAGGAGAGAUCCCCACCGUGGUGGUCUCCAGCGCUGAGGUGGUGGCCCAGGUGUUCAAGGCCAAUGACAUCGCCCUGUCGAACCAUAGUACCAGCAGGUUGCAGGACAUCGUGGGCUUCGGAGGUAAGGGCAUCCACUUCGCCCUCUACGGUGAUCACUGGCGCCAGAUGCGCAAGGUAUGCAUCACGGAGCUCCUCACAUCCAAGCAGGUGAAGCGCAUGGAGGGUGUCAGGGCCGAGGAGGUAGGAAACCUCCUCCGCUCCAUCAACAUAGCAAUAGCUGCCGGCGCUACCAUCAACAUCAGCGACAAGGUGGUGGCGCUCAGCAAUCACGUUGUGACACGAGCAGUGUUCGGCGGCAAGGUUGCACGGCAGGAAGAGUACCUUGACGAGAUCGACAAACUCAUGGACCUGAUAGGAGGCUUCUGCCUUGUGGACCUCUUCCCGUCGUCGCGGCUUGUGCAGUGGUUCAGCACUGCCGAGCGCCGCACAAAGACGAUUUGUGAUCACAUCCACAACAUCAUCACCGACAUCCUUGAGGAGCGCAAGGUAGCGCGAGCAUCCGGUAAUGACGGCAGCAGCAACAAUGACGACAUGCUGGACGUGUUGCUCAGACUGCUGGAGGAGGAUUCGCUGGCGUACCCUCUGACCACCGAGAUUAUAGUCACCAUCUUGUUUGACAUGUUUGGAGGUGCCACAGAGACUACAGGGACCACUUUGGUCUGGGCUAUGUCGGAACUCGUAAGACAUCCUAACGUUAUGGCUAAUGCACAGCUAGAGGUUCGAGAUCUUCUAGGUGAAGGCCGAGCUAUCAUUGGUAACAGCGAUCUUGCAGAACUCCACUACUUGCCGAUGGUCAUCAAGGAGGUUCUUAGAUUGCAUCCACCUGGUCCGUUAAUCCCUCGCAGGACUAGAGAGGAUUGCAAUAUUAUGGGUUAUGACAUUCCCAAAGAUACAAAUAUAUUCAUUAAUACCUUUGCAACAUCCCGGGAUCCUCAAUAUUGGGACAGUCCUGAAGUGUUUAAUCCAGAGAGGUUUGCAAACAAGAAUAUUGAUUAUAAUGGGACAUGUUUUGAAUUCACUCCAUUCGGAGGUGGGCGAAGGAAAUGUCCUGGAGUAGGCUUCGCCUCAUCAAUUUUGGAGAUUACUUUGGCAAACUUUCUGUAUCACUUUGAUUGGACGCUUCCCGGCGGAGCCAGCUCAGCGUCCCUUGAUAUGUCUGAGAAAUUUGGGGUAACUGUACGUAAAAGGUCUGACCUAUGGCUCAAGGCUAUUCCACAUGCACGCUCCAAAGCUACACAUAUAUAG
This 1518-nucleotide ribosomal RNA is filed under the name Triticum aestivum (bread wheat). RNAcentral's name for it is "partial small subunit ribosomal RNA". Lineage: Eukaryota; Viridiplantae; Streptophyta; Magnoliopsida; Poales; Poaceae. The record is from RNAcentral.